This 521-nucleotide ribosomal RNA is filed under the name uncultured bacterium. RNAcentral describes it as "bacterial SSU rRNA". It matches the Rfam family "Bacterial small subunit ribosomal RNA", at positions 988 to 1509 of the family's 1533-position model. The record is from RNAcentral.
CCAGAGAACUUUCCAGAGAUGGAUUGGUGCCUUCGGGAACUCUGAGACAGGUGCUGCAUGGCUGUCGUCAGCUCGUGUUGUGAAAUGUUGGGUUAAGUCCCGCAACGAGCGCAACCCUUAUCCUUUGUUGCCAGCGGUUAGGCCGGGAACUCAAAGGAGACUGCCAGUGAUAAACUGGAGGAAGGUGGGGAUGACGUCAAGUCAUCAUGGCCCUUACGAGUAGGGCUACACACGUGCUACAAUGGCGCAUACAAAGAGAAGCGACCUCGCGAGAGCAAGCGGACCUCAUAAAGUGCGUCGUAGUCCGGAUUGGAGUCUGCAACUCGACUCCAUGAAGUCGGAAUCGCUAGUAAUCGUGGAUCAGAAUGCCACGGUGAAUACGUUCCCGGGCCUUGUACACACCGCCCGUCACACCAUGGGAGUGGGUUGCAAAAGAAGUAGGUAGCUUAACCUUCGGGAGGGCGCUUACCACUUUGUGACUCAUGACUGGGGUGAAGUCGUAACAAGGUAAGCGUAGUGCU